Molecule: ribosomal RNA, 207 nt
Filed under: uncultured bacterium
Lineage: Bacteria
Description: partial 16S ribosomal RNA
Rfam family: Bacterial small subunit ribosomal RNA
Source: RNAcentral
UGCGUAGGUGGGUAAGUAAGUCAGUGGUGAAAUCUCCGGGCUUAACCCGGAAACUGCCAUUGAUACUAUUUGUCUUGAAUACUGUGGAGGUCAGCGGAAUAUGUCAUGUAGCGGUGAAAUGCUUAGAUAUGACAUAGAACACCAAUUGCGAAGGCAGCUGGCUACACAAAUAUUGACACUGAGGCACGAAAGCGUGGGGAUCAAACA